ACUUUAACCUAUGGCGAGUAAUUCUAGUUGCCAAAAAGCUAAAAGUUGUGGACUGGAAAUUUGCUUAAAAAAGCAAAAGUUUUGGUGGGUAAAGGUAAAGCUGUAGUGCGGAUUGGUUCAGUACACCAAGUGUCAGUUGUUCACCAUUAAUAAGCAACUAAGUAAGACAAAAAGCCCCAGAAAGACUAUCCCACCCCAAAGGU
RNAcentral lists this small RNA (203 nucleotides) under Mycoplasmoides pneumoniae M129. RNAcentral describes it as "Mycoplasma pneumoniae M129 ncRNA". Lineage: Bacteria; Bacillati; Mycoplasmatota; Mycoplasmoidales; Mycoplasmoidaceae. The record is from RNAcentral.